This 328-nucleotide unclassified non-coding RNA is filed under the name soil metagenome. Its description in RNAcentral is "partial contains 5.8S ribosomal RNA, internal transcribed spacer 2, and large subunit ribosomal RNA". The stretch from base 1 to 120 matches the Rfam family "5.8S ribosomal RNA", at positions 35 to 154 of the family's 154-position model. The record is from RNAcentral.
GAUGAAGAACGCAGCGAAAUGCGAUAAGUAAUGUGAAUUGCAGAAUUCAGUGAGUCAUCGAAUCUUUGAACGCACAUUGCGCCCCUUGGUAUUCCGAGGGGCAUGCCUGUUCGAGCGUCAUUAUAACCCCUCAAGCUCAGCUUGGUGUUGGGGCCUGCUGCACUGGCAGCCCUUAAAAUCAGUGGCGGCGCCAUCUGGCUCUAAGCGUAGUAAUUCUUCUCGCUAUGGAGUCCUGGUGGAUGCUUGCCAUCAACCCCCAAUUUUUCUAUGGUUGACCUCGGAUCAGGUAGGGAUACCCGCUGAACUUAAGCAUAUCAAUAGCGGAGGA